Toxorhynchites rutilus septentrionalis is the source of this 144-nucleotide small nuclear RNA. RefSeq annotates it as U4 spliceosomal RNA. The record is from RefSeq and is a predicted model, not a curated record. NCBI's taxonomy places the organism in Eukaryota, Metazoa, Arthropoda, Insecta, Diptera, Culicidae. The transcript has a single exon.
AGCUUUGCGCAGUGGUGAUAUCCUAACCUAUGAGGUUUUAUCGAGGUGCGAUUAUUGCUAGGUGAAAAAUCAUGUUUCAUGUUUCAUCAUCAUGUUUUCUACAAGAAAUUUGGAACAGUAGAUUUUUGUAAGUGUAUUGAGGUA